Molecule: ribosomal RNA, 484 nt
Filed under: uncultured bacterium
Lineage: Bacteria
Description: partial 16S ribosomal RNA
Rfam family: Bacterial small subunit ribosomal RNA
Source: RNAcentral
AUUGAACGCUGGCGGCAUGCUUUACACAUGCAAGUCGAACGGCAGCGCGGGCUUCGGCCUGGCGGCGAGUGGCGAACGGGUGAGUAAUGCAUCGGAGCGUGCCCAGUAGUGGGGGAUAGCCCGGCGAAAGCCGGAUUAAUACCGCAUACGACCUGAGGGUGAAAGCGGGGGACCGAAAGGCCUCGCGCUAUUGGAGCGGCCGAUGUCGGAUUAGCUAGUUGGUGGGGUAAAGGCUUACCAAGGCGACGAUCCGUAGCUGGUCUGAGAGGACGACCAGCCACACUGGGACUGAGACACGGCCCAGACUCCUACGGGAGGCAGCAGUGGGGAAUCUUGGACAAUGGGGGCAACCCUGAUCCAGCCAUGCCGCGUGCGGGAAGAAGGCCUUCGGGUUGUAAACCGCUUUUGUUCGGGAAGAAAUCCUCUGGGCUAAUACCCCGGGGGGAUGACGGUACCGGAAGAAUAAGCACCGGCUAACUACGUG